Molecule: non-coding RNA, 26 nt
Filed under: Homo sapiens (human)
Lineage: Eukaryota; Metazoa; Chordata; Mammalia; Primates; Hominidae
Source: RNAcentral
UGCGUGUCUUCGUUGGCACCAGGUGU